Lolium rigidum is the source of this 1660-nucleotide long non-coding RNA. RefSeq lists it as uncharacterized. NCBI's taxonomy places the organism in Eukaryota, Viridiplantae, Streptophyta, Magnoliopsida, Poales, Poaceae. The record is from RefSeq and is a predicted model, not a curated record. The transcript has 6 exons.
GGUCGUCAGGACCUUGCUCAUCGCGUUCCCGUGGACGUGCUGCUUGGUGCUCCAGUUGUUGAUUCCGUUGCUGCCGAUGUCUCCGGUGGCUUCGAUCAUUUGCAGUUUGGGGUUUCCAUCUUCCUUGCUUCUGAUUCUCCAGCUGUUAUGCAGACUGUUGGACGUGUACGCUGGGGACCUGUUCGUCGGCGUGUACGACCACAUUCGUCUUCGGUUUCUCCGCCUCCAUACCGGGAUCGUCGUCUCCACAGUGUUGUUCCCGCUGCGGCUACUAGCCGUGGUCAUUGCUUCGCAGCUCUGGUUGUUCCUUUUCUGCCUGCUGCCUCUGGUUCCUCUGCCGGCUGGUGGUUCUGUUCACCAUUAUUCGCCUGAUUCUUCAGUUUGUGUUCUCGGUCAGGGUGGAUCUUCCGUUCAUCAUUGCGUUGCUCGCUGUUUGCACAUGACAUAUCUCUGUUGUUUUCCCUUAUCCUGAUUGUCUGCACUUUACUGUUCACCUAUUAUGGUUACUGAUAUUUUAAUUUGUUGCACGUUUAUUAUGGAUGUUGCAGGAAACUUCCUAAAGUAGCAAUGCAAGCAACCUCAGUCAGAGAUAUCAAACCUUUAGGAUCUCCGAGGUGUGCUGUUGUGCACAUCACAUGGAUGUGGGAGAACAUGAACAAGCAGCAUAAACUCUAUGAGAUAGGAUUCAUGUCCGUUGAUCACCUGGGCACCAUGAUAGAAGGUUUUCUACUCGCAGACCGGGAUAGAACAAUUUAAAGACAAACUAAUGGAAGGCAUGGUUUACAAGCUGGAGUCGUUUAUGAUCGUCGGCCCGCAGAACAACUAUAGAGCAGCAGGUCAUUGUCAUAGGAUCCAAAUUUCACAUAACACAAGAGUGAAGGAGAUUGUGACUGAGCCUGAGAACUUCCCUCUAUAUGCAUAUGAUGCAAAGUCUUUUGAUGAGGUCUGGCCAUGCUUGGACGAGAAACUGGUCCUAUCAGAUGUUGUUGGAGUGGUCACAAAACUAUCAGAUAUUAUCACACCAAGGCAGGUGAUCAAUCAAGGAUAGAAUGAAAGAGAUGACCUUGCCAUGGUGACCUUGUGGGGAUACCAAUCAGAGAAGUUUGAUGCAGAAGGCAUUCGGCAGAUUUCUUUGGAGGAAAACGUGUUUCUGUUGUUCGUGAAUGAAUGUUACUCUAUUUAAAGGAAUGCUAGGUUUUAAAGGCACUUCGCUAAACUGCUGACACAUUAACAUACCCAUUCCUGAAAUAAACGCCGUUCGCAAAAGCCAUGGAGAUAAGCGGUACAUAAUAGACUGGGAAAACUUUGGAGAUGCAAAAAAAUGAAGCAACCGAGACCACCCUUUACGACCUAUGCAAACAGGAGAGCGACACCAUCACCAUCAGGGAAAUCAAGCAAGUAAAUCAACCACCUAGCUGCAGAUAAAGCUUUUCAUCGGUUACGCCUUUAGGUCUAUCUAAUCUAAUAGUAUCCGAGGCGAAUAUCCUUGCGGUCUCCUAAGAUUGCAUACCUAAAACUCAAUGCGUGAGUGUUUGCUGUUCAGAGAUCCAGUAUAAUUAUCUAUGUAUAAUUAUCCAGUAUGCAGACCUUUAUCCACUACUAUGUAUCUUAAGACUCGAUGAAGCACCAGCUUGCUAGCUAUACUGCCACUUUAUCCUUU